GGCCUGGUGGCUCAGUUGGUAGUGUGUUUACGUCUACCUGCUGAACUGAAAGGUCGUGGGUUCAAUCCCCACCCAGGGCA
RNAcentral lists this transfer RNA (80 nucleotides) under Operophtera brumata (winter moth). It matches the Rfam family "tRNA". From Rfam's summary of the family: Transfer RNA (tRNA) molecules are approximately 80 nucleotides in length. Lineage: Eukaryota; Metazoa; Arthropoda; Insecta; Lepidoptera; Geometridae. The record is from Rfam by way of RNAcentral.